Molecule: long non-coding RNA, 150 nt
Organism: Oncorhynchus keta (chum salmon)
Lineage: Eukaryota; Metazoa; Chordata; Actinopteri; Salmoniformes; Salmonidae
Exons: 3
Source: RefSeq, a predicted model, not a curated record
GAGACCUGGAGGUAGAGGUCUGAUCACCGACAGGGAGGAGGCAGCCUAUAGGGAGGAGGACAGAGACCUGGAGGUAGAGGUCUGAUCACCGACAGGGAGGAGACAGCCUAUAGGGAGGAGGACAGAGACCUGGAGACAGCCUAUAGGGAG